This 484-nucleotide ribosomal RNA is filed under the name uncultured bacterium. RNAcentral describes it as "partial 16S ribosomal RNA". It matches the Rfam family "Bacterial small subunit ribosomal RNA", at positions 28 to 507 of the family's 1533-position model. The record is from RNAcentral.
AUUGAACGCUGGCGGCAUGCUUUACACAUGCAAGUCGAACGGCAGCGCGGGCUUCGGCCUGGCGGCGAGUGGCGAACGGGUGAGUAAUGCAUCGGAACGUGCCCAGUAGUGGGGGAUAGCCCGGCGAAAGCCGGAUUAAUACCGCAUACGACCUGAGGGUGAAAGCGGGGGACCGAAAGGCCUCGCGCUAUUGGAGCGGCCGAUGUCGGAUUAGCUAGUUGGUGGGGUAAAGGCUUACCAAGGCGACGAUCCGUAGCUGGUCUGAGAGGACGAGCAGCCACACUGGGACUGAGACGCGGCCCAGACUCCUACGGGACGCAGCAGUGGGGAAUUUUGGACAAUGGGGGCAACCCUGAUCCAGCCAUGCCGCGUGCGGGAAGAAGGCCUUCGGGUUGUAAACCGCUUUUGUUCGGGAAGAAAUCCUCUGGGCUAAUACCCCGGGGGGAUGACGGUACCGGAAGAAUAAGCACCGGCUAACUACGUG